This 495-nucleotide ribosomal RNA is filed under the name uncultured bacterium. RNAcentral describes it as "partial 16S ribosomal RNA". It matches the Rfam family "Bacterial small subunit ribosomal RNA", at positions 28 to 507 of the family's 1533-position model. The record is from RNAcentral.
GACGAACGCUGGCGGCGUGCCUAAUACAUGCAAGUAGAACGCUGAAGGAGGAGCUUGCUUCUCUGGAUGAGUUGCGAACGGGUGAGUAACGCGUAGGUAACCUGCCUGGUAGCGGGGGAUAACUAUUGGAAACGAUAGCUAAUACCGCAUAAGAGAAGAUGUCGCAUGACAUUUGCUUAAAAGGUGCAAUUGCAUCACUACCAGAUGGACCUGCGUUGUAUUAGCUAGUUGGUGAGGUAACGGCUCACCAAGGCAACGAUACAUAGCCGACCUGAGAGGGUGAUCGGCCACACUGGGACUGAGACACGGCCCAGACUCCUACGGGAGGCAGCAGUAGGGAAUCUUCGGCAAUGGACGGAAGUCUGACCGAGCAACGCCGCGUGAGUGAAGAAGGUUUUCGGAUCGUAAAGCUCUGUUGUAAGAGAAGAACGAGUGUGAGAGUGGAAGGUUCACACUGUGACGGUAUCUUACCAGAAAGGGACGGCUAACUACGUG